GGUUGACCUCGGAUCGGGUAGGGAUACCCGC
RNAcentral lists this ribosomal RNA (31 nucleotides) under Leohumicola verrucosa. RNAcentral's name for it is "partial 28S ribosomal RNA". The record is from RNAcentral. Lineage: Eukaryota; Fungi; Ascomycota; Leotiomycetes.